This 66-nucleotide transfer RNA is filed under the name Neochauliodes punctatolosus. RNAcentral's name for it is "tRNA-Asp". The record is from RNAcentral. Lineage: Eukaryota; Metazoa; Arthropoda; Insecta; Megaloptera; Corydalidae. RNAcentral also lists the same sequence under 7 other names.
AAAGAAUUAGUUAAAUUAACAUUAGUAUGUCAAGCUAAAAUUAUUAGUAAAAUCUAAUAUUCUUUA